RNAcentral lists this ribosomal RNA (468 nucleotides) under uncultured bacterium. RNAcentral's name for it is "bacterial SSU rRNA". It matches the Rfam family "Bacterial small subunit ribosomal RNA", at positions 335 to 796 of the family's 1533-position model. The record is from RNAcentral.
ACUCCUACGGGAGGCAGCAGUGGGGAAUUUUGGACAAUGGGCGCAAGCCUGAUCCAGCAAUGCCGCGUGUGUGAAGAAGGCCUUCGGGUUGUAAAGCACUUUUGUCAGGGAAGAAAUCUGUUUGGUUAAUACCCGAACAGGAUGACGGUACCUGAAGAAUAAGCACCGGCUAACUACGUGCCAGCAGCCGCGGUAAUACGUAGGGUGCGAGCGUUAAUCGGAAUUACUGGGCGUAAAGCGUGCGCAGGCGGCACUGUAAGACAGAUGUGAAAUCCCCGGGCUCAACCUGGGAACUGCAUUUGUGACUGCAGAGCUAGAGUGUGUCAGAGGGGGUGGAAUUCCACGUGUAGCAGUGAAAUGCGUAGAGAUGUGGAGGAACACCGAUGGCGAAGGCAGCCCCCUGGGAUAACACUGACGCUCAGGCACGAAAGCGUGGGGAGCAAACAGGAUUAGAUACCCUGGUAGCUA